This 428-nucleotide ribosomal RNA is filed under the name Populus deltoides. Lineage: Eukaryota; Viridiplantae; Streptophyta; Magnoliopsida; Malpighiales; Salicaceae. The record is from RNAcentral.
GGGAAGUCCUCGUGUUGCACCCCUCCUUUUUGGCCGCUUCUCCAUCCGGCAGCCUCUGUCUUCCUUUCUUCUUUUUCUCUCCCCCGCCUCGCUUUCCUCCCCCGCUACCGAUAGGCGGGGUAGAGGCCGAAGGCUACUAGUCUUGUUCAGAAUGUCGUUUCGCUUCAAGAAACGAAAGGUCGACAGCUAAUUCCACCAAGAAUUUGGUUAUGAACAAUAAAAACCUAUUUUAAAAAAAACAAUUAAAUACCAACCAAAGCAAAUAAAAUCCAACGGUCUAAUCGCAGGUUACGACCCUAUUGAGCCGCUGCCCCUUCGCGGUGGUGCCUGAACCACCGGGGAGCCUCCCAUCACUCCCCGAUCUUCCUCUUAGAAGCGCUUAUAGCAAUUGCGCGUGCAUAGAUUAACGGGUGCGAUCAUACCAGCAC